This is a small nuclear RNA of Bos indicus x Bos taurus (hybrid cattle), 107 nucleotides long. The record is from Ensembl. Lineage: Eukaryota; Metazoa; Chordata; Mammalia; Artiodactyla; Bovidae.
GGGCUCGCUUCAUUAGCACAUAUACUAAAAUUGGAAUGAUACAGAAAAAUUUUGUAUGGCCCCUGCACAAGGAUGACACUCAAAUUUGUGAAGCAUUUCGUAUUUUU